UUAAAUUGAAGAGUUUGAUCAUGGCUCAGAUUGAACGCUGGCGGCAGGCCUAACACAUGCAAGUCGAACGGUAACAGGAAACAGCUUGCUGUUUCGCUGACGAGUGGCGGACGGGUGAGUAAUGUCUGGGAAACUGCCUGAUGGAGGGGGAUAACUACUGGAAACGGUAGCUAAUACCGCAUAACGUCGCAAGACCAAAGAGGGGGACCUUCGGGCCU
Molecule: ribosomal RNA, 218 nt
Filed under: Escherichia coli
Lineage: Bacteria; Pseudomonadati; Pseudomonadota; Gammaproteobacteria; Enterobacterales; Enterobacteriaceae
Description: partial 16S ribosomal RNA
Rfam family: Bacterial small subunit ribosomal RNA
Source: RNAcentral